Notamacropus eugenii (tammar wallaby) is the source of this 70-nucleotide microRNA precursor. Ensembl annotates it as microRNA 1251. The record is from Ensembl. NCBI's taxonomy places the organism in Eukaryota, Metazoa, Chordata, Mammalia, Diprotodontia, Macropodidae.
GUAGACUCUAGCUGACUAAGGCGCUUCUCUUUCUAAAAAGAGCGCUUUACUUAGCCAGUGUAGACAUGGC